The sequence is a ribosomal RNA, 2880 nucleotides long. It matches the Rfam family "Bacterial large subunit ribosomal RNA".
AGAAGCGCAUACGGUGGAUGCCUUGGCAGUCAGAGGCGAUGAAAGACGUGGUAGCCUGCGAAAAGCUUCGGGGAGUCGGCAAACAGACUUUGAUCCGGAGAUGUCUGAAUGGGGGAACCCAGCCAUCAUAAGAUGGUUAUCUUACGCUGAAUACAUAGGCGUAAGAGGCGAACCAGGGGAACUGAAACAUCUAAGUACCCUGAGGAAAAGAAAUCAACCGAGAUUCCCUUAGUAGUGGCGAGCGAACGGGGACUAGCCCUUAAGUGGCUUUGAGAUUAGCGGAACGCUCUGGAAAGUGCGGCCAUAGUGGGUGAUAGCCCUGUACGCGAAAAUCUCUUAGUCAUGAAAUCGAGUAGGACGGAGCACGAGAAACUUUGUCUGAAUAUGGGGGGACCAUCCUCCAAGGCUAAAUACUACUGACUGACCGAUAGUGAACUAGUACCGUGAGGGAAAGGCGAAAAGAACCCCGGAGAGGGGAGUGAAAUAGAUCCUGAAACCGUAUGCGUACAAGCAGUGGGAGCCCACUUUGUUGGGUGACUGCGUACCUUUUGUAUAAUGGGUCAGCGACUUAUUUUCAGUGGCGAGCUUAACCGAAUAGGGGAGGCGUAGCGAAAGCGAGUCUUAAUAGGGCGUCUAGUCGCUGGGAAUAGACCCGAAACCGGGCGAUCUAUCCAUGGGCAGGUUGAAGGUUGGGUAACACUAACUGGAGGACCGAACCGACUACCGUUGAAAAGUUAGCGGAUGACCUGUGGAUCGGAGUGAAAGGCUAAUCAAGCUCGGAGAUAGCUGGUUCUCCUCGAAAGCUAUUUAGGUAGCGCCUCAUGUAUCACUGUAGGGGGUAGAGCACUGUUUCGGCUAGGGGGUCAUCCCGACUUACCAAACCGAUGCAAACUCCGAAUACCUACAAGUGCCGAGCAUGGGAGACACACGGCGGGUGCUAACGUCCGUCGUGAAAAGGGAAACAACCCAGACCGUCAGCUAAGGUCCCAAAGUUAUGGUUAAGUGGGAAACGAUGUGGGAAGGCUUAGACAGCUAGGAGGUUGGCUUAGAAGCAGCCACCCUUUAAAGAAAGCGUAAUAGCUCACUAGUCGAGUCGGCCUGCGCGGAAGAUGUAACGGGGCUCAAACCAUACACCGAAGCUACGGGUAUCACGUAAGUGAUGCGGUAGAGGAGCGUUCUGUAAGCCUGUGAAGGUGAGUUGAGAAGCUUGCUGGAGGUAUCAGAAGUGCGAAUGCUGACAUGAGUAACGACAAUGGGUGUGAAAAACACCCACGCCGAAAGACCAAGGUUUCCUGCGCAACGUUAAUCGACGCAGGGUUAGUCGGUCCCUAAGGCGAGGCUGAAAAGCGUAGUCGAUGGAAAACAGGUUAAUAUUCCUGUACUUCUGGUUAUUGCGAUGGAGGGACGGAGAAGGCUAGGCCAGCUUGGCGUUGGUUGUCCAAGUUUAAGGUGGUAGGCUGGAAUCUUAGGUAAAUCCGGGAUUCUAAGGCCGAGAGCUGAUGACGAGUCAUCUUUUAGAUGACGAAGUGGUUGAUGCCAUGCUUCCAAGAAAAGCUUCUAAGCUUCAGGUAACCAGGAACCGUACCCCAAACCGACACAGGUGGUUGGGUAGAGAAUACCAAGGCGCUUGAGAGAACUCGGGUGAAGGAACUAGGCAAAAUGGCACCGUAACUUCGGGAGAAGGUGCGCCGGUGAGGGUGAAGGACUUGCUCCGUAAGCUCAUGCCGGUCGAAGAUACCAGGCCGCUGCGACUGUUUAUUAAAAACACAGCACUCUGCAAACACGAAAGUGGACGUAUAGGGUGUGACGCCUGCCCGGUGCCGGAAGGUUAAUUGAUGGGGUUAGCUAACGCGAAGCUCUUGAUCGAAGCCCCGGUAAACGGCGGCCGUAACUAUAACGGUCCUAAGGUAGCGAAAUUCCUUGUCGGGUAAGUUCCGACCUGCACGAAUGGCGUAACGAUGGCGGCGCUGUCUCCACCCGAGACUCAGUGAAAUUGAAAUCGCUGUGAAGAUGCAGUGUAUCCGCGGCUAGACGGAAAGACCCCGUGAACCUUUACUAUAGCUUUGCACUGGACUUUGAAUUUGCUUGUGUAGGAUAGGUGGGAGGCUUUGAAGCGUGGACGCCAGUCUGCGUGGAGCCAACCUUGAAAUACCACCCUGGCAACUUUGAGGUUCUAACUCAGGUCCGUUAUCCGGAUCGAGGACAGUGUAUGGUGGGUAGUUUGACUGGGGCGGUCUCCUCCUAAAGAGUAACGGAGGAGUACGAAGGUGCGCUCAGACCGGUCGGAAAUCGGUCGUAGAGUAUAAAGGCAAAAGCGCGCUUGACUGCGAGACAGACACGUCGAGCAGGUACGAAAGUAGGUCUUAGUGAUCCGGUGGUUCUGUAUGGAAGGGCCAUCGCUCAACGGAUAAAAGGUACUCCGGGGAUAACAGGCUGAUACCGCCCAAGAGUUCAUAUCGACGGCGGUGUUUGGCACCUCGAUGUCGGCUCAUCACAUCCUGGGGCUGAAGCCGGUCCCAAGGGUAUGGCUGUUCGCCAUUUAAAGUGGUACGCGAGCUGGGUUUAGAACGUCGUGAGACAGUUCGGUCCCUAUCUGCCGUGGACGUUUGAGAUUUGAGAGGGGCUGCUCCUAGUACGAGAGGACCGGAGUGGACGAACCUCUGGUGUUCCGGUUGUCACGCCAGUGGCAUUGCCGGGUAGCUAUGUUCGGAAUAGAUAACCGCUGAAAGCAUCUAAGCGGGAAACUAGCCUCAAGAUGAGAUCUCACUGGAACCUUGAGUUCCCUGAAGGGCCGUCGAAGACUACGACGUUGAUAGGUUGGGUGUGUAAGCGCUGUGAGGCGUUGAGCUAACCAAUACUAAUUGCCCGUGAGGCUUGACC